CUGCUGUGUCCCAUAAUUGCAACCGUACUGUUCGAUCCUCCAAAUACAUGGUUUUUGAUAAGAAGUCAAUGCCAAUUGUUGCCUGGUAGGUGUUGUCAAAGCUGUCAUACAUGAACCUGGUGAUCAAGGAAGUCUUCCCCACGCUCUGCUCGCCCAGGAACACCAGCUUGAAUUUCCGCAGCGGGUUGCCGAAGUCCCCGCCCGCCGACAUGAUGGCACCGCCGCCCCGCUCGGUCGCUCUGGUCGCUCGUCCGCUCCACGCGGUUAGGGAUCAGCGAUUUUUUCCUCUCUUUUUUUUUCUUUUUCUAUUUUUUUCCCUUUUUCCCUUCUCCCUCCCCUCAGGCUGCGGGUAGGGCCGUGGGACCGCUCCCCGGCCGGGCUCGGGGAGGUGUACGGCGACGGAUCGCACGGCUGCCGCUCCCCUCAGGGCCGGGCUCCGUCCCCCGCGCCGCGCCGCCUCACACCGCCGCCGGUCCCGCCCCGCCCCUGCGCACGCGCGGCACCGCCCCGCCCCUCGGCGC
RNAcentral lists this long non-coding RNA (521 nucleotides) under Gallus gallus (chicken). The record is from RNAcentral. Lineage: Eukaryota; Metazoa; Chordata; Aves; Galliformes; Phasianidae.